GCUUACGGCCAUACCACCCUGAACACGCCCGAUCUCAUCUGAUCUCGGAAGCCAAGCAGGGUAGGACCUUGUUAGUACUUGGAUGGGAGACCGCCUGGGAAUACCAGGUGCUGUAAGCU
Molecule: ribosomal RNA, 119 nt
Filed under: Anabas testudineus (climbing perch)
Lineage: Eukaryota; Metazoa; Chordata; Actinopteri; Anabantiformes; Anabantidae
Source: RNAcentral